CCGACGGUGAGGGGUGAAAGCUGGGGGCACGAACCGGAUUAGAUACCCGGGUAGUCCCAGCCGUAAACGAUGCUCGCUAGGUGUCAGGCAUGGCGCGACCGUGUCUGGUGCCGCAGGGAGGCCGUGAAGCGAGCCACCUGGGAAGUACGGCCGCAAGGCUGAAACUUAAAGGAAUUGGCGGGGGAGCACAACAACGGGUGGAGCCUGCGGUUUAAUUGGACUCAACGCCGGACAACUCACCGGGGGCGACAGCAAUAUGUAGGCCAAGCUGAAGACUUUGCCUGAAUCGCUGAGAGGAGGUGCAUGGCCGUCGCCAGUUCGUACUG
RNAcentral lists this ribosomal RNA (326 nucleotides) under uncultured archaeon. RNAcentral's name for it is "bacterial SSU rRNA". It matches the Rfam family "Archaeal small subunit ribosomal RNA", at positions 691 to 1016 of the family's 1478-position model. The record is from RNAcentral.